Molecule: ribosomal RNA, 292 nt
Filed under: uncultured bacterium
Lineage: Bacteria
Description: partial 16S ribosomal RNA
Rfam family: Bacterial small subunit ribosomal RNA
Source: RNAcentral
GUGUCAGCAGCCGCGGUAAAACGUAGGUGGCGAGCGUUAUCCGGAUUUACUGGGCGUAAAGCGUGUGCAGGCGGACUGUCAAGUGGUGCAUGAAAUCGCUCGGCUUAACCGGGCGCGGGUGUGCCAGACUGAUGGUCUGGAGUGCGGGAGAGGGGCGUGGAAUUCCGGGUGUAGUGGUGAAAUGCGUAGAGAUCCGGAGGAACCCCAGAGGCGAAGGCGGCGCCCUGGCCCGACACUGACGCUCAGACACGACAGCAUGGGGAGCGAACGGGAUUAGAAACCCCCGUAGUCC